Molecule: ribosomal RNA, 496 nt
Filed under: uncultured bacterium
Lineage: Bacteria
Description: partial 16S ribosomal RNA
Rfam family: Bacterial small subunit ribosomal RNA
Source: RNAcentral
GACGAACGCUGGCGGCGUGCCUAAUACAUGCAAGUCGAACGCUGAAGCGAGGAGCUUGCUCUUCUUGGAUGAGUUGCGAACGGGUGAGUAACGCGUAGGUAACCUGCCUUGUAGCGGGGGAUAACUAUUGGAAACGAUAGCUAAUACCGCAUAACAAUGGAUGACACAUGUCAUUUAUUUGAAAGGGGCAAUUGCUCCACUACAAGAUGGACCUGCGUUGUAUUAGCUAGUAGGUGAGGUAAUGGCUCACCUAGGCGACGAUACAUAGCCGACCUGAGAGGGUGAUCGGCCACACUGGGACUGAGACACGGCCCAGACUCCUACGGGAGGCAGCAGUAGGGAAUCUUCGGCAAUGGGGGCAACCCUGACCGAGCAACGCCGCGUGAGUGAAGAAGGUGUUCGGAUCGUAAAGCUCUGUUGUGAGUCAAGAACGGGUGUGAGAGUGGAAAGUUCACACUGUGACGGUAGCUUACCAGAAAGGGACGGCUAACUACGU